RNAcentral lists this ribosomal RNA (254 nucleotides) under uncultured bacterium. RNAcentral's name for it is "partial 16S ribosomal RNA". It matches the Rfam family "Bacterial small subunit ribosomal RNA", at positions 524 to 776 of the family's 1533-position model. The record is from RNAcentral.
UACAUGGGGUGCAAACGUUGCUCGGAAUUAUUGGGCGUAAAGCGCACGUAGGCGGUUCGUUAAGUCGGAUGUGAAAGCCCUCGGCUCAACUGAGGAAGUGCACCCGAAACUGGCGAGCUUGAGUACGAAAGAGGAUCGCGGAAUUCCCGGUGUAGCGGUGAAAUGCGCAGAUAUCGGGAGGAACACCGGUGGCGAAGGCGGUUCUCUGGGCCUGUACUGGACGCUGAGGAGCGAAAGCGUGGGGAGCGAACAGG